RNAcentral lists this ribosomal RNA (254 nucleotides) under Escherichia coli. RNAcentral's name for it is "partial 23S ribosomal RNA". It matches the Rfam family "Bacterial large subunit ribosomal RNA", at positions 191 to 483 of the family's 2925-position model. The record is from RNAcentral. Lineage: Bacteria; Pseudomonadati; Pseudomonadota; Gammaproteobacteria; Enterobacterales; Enterobacteriaceae.
AACUGAAACAUCUAAGUACCCCGAGGAAAAGAAAUCAACCGAGAUUCCCCCAGUAGCGGCGAGCGAACGGGGAGCAGCCCAGAGCCUGAAUCAGUGUGUGUGUUAGUGGAAGCGUCUGGAAAGGCGUGCGAUACAGGGUGACAGCCCCGUACACAAAAAUGCACAUGCUGUGAGCUCGAUGAGUAGGGCGGGACACGUGGUAUCCUGUCUGCAUAUUGGGGGACUGUCCUCCAAGGCGAAACACCCGUGACUGA